GCUGGGCAUGGUGGUGAAUGCCUGUAGUCCUAGCUACCCGGGAGGCUGAGGCAGGAGAAUUGCUUGAGACCAGGAGUUUGAGGUUACAAUGAUUAUGCCACUGCACCCCAGCCUGGGCAACAGAGCAAGACCCUGUUUCAA
Unclassified non-coding RNA from Pongo abelii (Sumatran orangutan), 141 nucleotides. It matches the Rfam family "Metazoan signal recognition particle RNA". From Rfam's summary of the family: The signal recognition particle (SRP) is a universally conserved ribonucleoprotein. It is involved in the co-translational targeting of proteins to membranes. The record is from Ensembl. NCBI's taxonomy places the organism in Eukaryota, Metazoa, Chordata, Mammalia, Primates, Hominidae.